Molecule: long non-coding RNA, 350 nt
Filed under: Fukomys damarensis (Damara mole-rat)
Lineage: Eukaryota; Metazoa; Chordata; Mammalia; Rodentia; Bathyergidae
Description: lncRNA (ENSFDAG00000032774.1)
Source: RNAcentral
CACCUUGAAAACAUACAGAUCCUGUCAUUGCCAAAGGAACCCGAGCUUGAGACCAGGAAUGGUGGGAAUGUUUCAUUACUCAAACACUUGUUUGUGGAAAUUAUUUCAUCAUAGAUUAUGGUGCAUCAAUGGUUCAGGACUGGGGAAGUUAACUGAGUUCUACAUAAUGGGCUUAAAGCAAGCUCUGUUUUAUUGCAGUGCUUCCUGCCUUAUUUUUGGAGUCAAUGAAGAGAGGAAACCAAUAUUUCAAACAGUAGUACAUAAAUACUUCCAGUGUUGCUUCCAGCCAUGUCUGUUUGGUGAGAUCACAUCUUUUAUGUAAUAAAUUUGAGGACCUUGUUAGUAAUACA